Long non-coding RNA from Herpailurus yagouaroundi (jaguarundi), 124 nucleotides. RefSeq lists it as uncharacterized. Lineage: Eukaryota; Metazoa; Chordata; Mammalia; Carnivora; Felidae. The record is from RefSeq and is a predicted model, not a curated record. The transcript has 3 exons.
AGAAAUCACAGAACUCCGGCGAGAUGGGGGCUGGGAGCCCGUUGGGGCCUGUGGAAGUCACAGGAUUGAAUGUUGCCAUUCAUGUUAUCAUAUCUAAGUCACUUGGACACUGACACAAGUCCCU